This 462-nucleotide ribosomal RNA is filed under the name uncultured bacterium. RNAcentral describes it as "partial 16S ribosomal RNA". It matches the Rfam family "Bacterial small subunit ribosomal RNA", at positions 338 to 795 of the family's 1533-position model. The record is from RNAcentral.
CCUACGGCGGCACUGCAGUGAGGAAUAUUGGUCAAUGGGCGGAAGCCUGAACCAGCCAAGUCGCGUGAGGGAUUAAGGCCCUGCGGGUCGUAAACCUCUUUUGCCGGGGAGCAGAGGUCCGGACGUGUCCUGGCCGGGUGAGUACCCGGAGAAAAAGCAUCGGCUAACUCCGUGCCAGCAGCCGCGGUAAUACGGAGGAUGCGAGCGUUAUACGGGUUUAUUGGGUUUAAAGGGUGCGUAGGCGGCGUGUUAAGUCAGCGGUGAAAGUCUGUGGCUCAACCAUAGAAUUGCCGUUGAAACUGGGAGGAUUGAGUAUGUUUGAGGCAGGCGGAAUGCGUGGUGUAGCGGUGAAAUGCGUAGAGAUCACGCAGAACCCCGAUUGCGAAGGCAGCCUGCCAAGCCAUGACUGACGCUGAUGCACGAAAGCGUGGGGAUCAAACAGGAUUAGAUACCCCAGUAGUC